GAUCCUGGCUCAGGAUGAACGCUAGCUACAGGCUUAACACAUGCAAGUCGAGGGCAGCAUGUCGGUUGCUUGCAACCGACGAUGGCGACCGGCGCACGGGUGAGUAACGCGUAUCCAACCUACCCUUGUCCAUCGGAUAACCCGUCGAAAGGCGGCCUAACACGAUAUGCGGUUCUCAGCAGGCAUCUAACGAGAACGAAAUGUGAAGGAGAAGGAUGGGGAUGCGUCUGAUUAGCUUGUUGGCGGGGUAACGGCCCACCAAGGCAACGAUCAGUAGGGGUUCUGAGAGGAAGGUCCCCCACAUUGGAACUGAGACACGGUCCAAACUCCUACGGGAGGCAGCAGUGAGGAAUAUUGGUCAAUGGACGAGAGUCUGAACCAGCCAAGUAGCGUGCAGGAUGACGGCCCUAUGGGUUGUAAACUGCUUUUAUAAGGGAAUAAAGUGAGCCUCGUGAGGCUUUUUGCAUGUACCUUAUGAAUAAGGACCGGCUAAUUCCGUG
This 500-nucleotide ribosomal RNA is filed under the name uncultured bacterium. RNAcentral's name for it is "bacterial SSU rRNA". It matches the Rfam family "Bacterial small subunit ribosomal RNA", at positions 15 to 507 of the family's 1533-position model. The record is from RNAcentral.